Molecule: ribosomal RNA, 301 nt
Filed under: uncultured bacterium
Lineage: Bacteria
Description: partial 16S ribosomal RNA
Rfam family: Bacterial small subunit ribosomal RNA
Source: RNAcentral
CAGCAGCCGCGGUAAUACGUAGGUCCCGAGCGUUGUCCGGAUUUAUUGGGCGUAAAGCGAGCGCAGGCGGUUAGAUAAGUCUGAUGUGAAAGCCCACGGCUCAACCGUGGAGGGUCAUUGGAAACUGUUAAACUUGAGUGCAGGAGAGAAAAGUGGAAUUCCUAGUGUAGCGGUGAAAUGCGUAGAGAUUAGGAGGAACACCAGUGGCGAAGGCGGCUUUUAGGCCUGUAACUGACACUGAGGCGCGAAAGCGUGGGGAGCAAACAGGAUUAGAUACCCGCGUAGUCCCUGUCUCUUAUCC